This 458-nucleotide ribosomal RNA is filed under the name uncultured bacterium. RNAcentral's name for it is "partial 16S ribosomal RNA". It matches the Rfam family "Bacterial small subunit ribosomal RNA", at positions 338 to 795 of the family's 1533-position model. The record is from RNAcentral.
CCUACGGGAGGCAGCAGUGAGGAAUAUUGGUCAAUGGGCGAGAGCCUGAACCAGCCAAGCCGCGUGAGGGAGUACUGCCCUAUGGGUUGUAAACCUCUUUUGUCGGGGAGCAAAAGCCGGACGUGUCCGGCUGUGAGAGUACCCGAAGAAAAAGCAUCGGCUAACGCCGUGCCAGCAGCCGCGGUAAUACGGAGGAUGCGAGCGUUUUCCGGAUUUAUUGGGGUUAAAGGGUGCGCAGGCGGAUUUUUAAGUCAGCGGUCAAAUCGUGGGGCUCAACCCCAUCCAGCCGUUGAAACUGGGGAUCUAGAGUGUGCGAGAGGUAUGCGGAAUGCGUGGUGUAGCGGUGAAAUGCAUAGAUAUCACGCAGAACCCCGAUUGCGAAGGCAGCAUACCGGUGCACAACUGACGCUCAGGCACGAAAGCGUGGGUAUCGAACAGGAUUAGAUACCCCAGUAGUC